AUUGAACGCUGGCGGCAUGCCUUACACAUGCAAGUCGAACGGCAGCACGGGAGCAAUCCUGGUGGCGAGUGGCGAACGGGUGAGUAAUAUAUCGGAACGUGCCCAGUAGUGGGGGAUAACUGCUCGAAAGAGCAGCUAAUACCGCGUACGACCUGAGGGUGAAAGGGGGGGAUCGCAAGACCUCUCGCUAUUGGAGCGGCCGAUAUCAGAUUAGCUAGUUGGUGGGGUAAAGGCCUACCAAGGCAACGAUCUGUAGUUGGUCUGAGAGGACGACCAGCCACACUGGGACUGAGACACGGCCCAGACUCCUACGGGAGGCAGCAGUGGGGAAUUUUGGACAAUGGGCGCAAGCCUGAUCCAGCAAUGCCGCGUGCAGGAAGAAGGCCUU
Molecule: ribosomal RNA, 388 nt
Filed under: uncultured bacterium
Lineage: Bacteria
Description: bacterial SSU rRNA
Rfam family: Bacterial small subunit ribosomal RNA
Source: RNAcentral